CUGCCGUAUACUGGGGGAUAACACUUAGAAAUAGGUGCUAAUACCGCAUAAGCGCACAGCUUCGCAUGAAGUGGUGUGAAAAACUCUGGUGGUAUACGAUGGUUCCGCGUCUGAUUAGCUUGUUGGUGGGGUAAUGGCUCACCAAGGCGACGAUCAGUAGCCGGCCUGAGAGGGUGAACGGCCACAUUGGGACUGAGACACGGCCCAAACUCCUACGGGAGGCAGCAGUGGGGAAUAUUGCACAAUGGGGGAAACCCUGAUGCAGCGACGCCGCGUGAGUGAAGAAGUAUUUCGGUAUGUAAAGCUCUAUCAGCAGGGAAGAAAAUGACGGUACCUGAUUAAGAAGCCCCGGCUAACUACGUGCCAGCAGCCGCGGUAAUACGUAGGGGGCAAGCGUUAUCCGGAUUUACUGGGUGUAAAGGGAGCGUAGACGGCAGCACAAGUCUGAAGUGAAAUGCCGGGGCUUAACCCCGGAACUGCUUUGGAAACUGUGCAGCUAGAGUGCAGGAGAGGUAAGUGGAAUUCCUAGUGUAGCGGUGAAAUGCGUAGAUAUUAGGAGGAACACCAGUGGCGAAGGCGGCUUACUGGACUGUAACUGACGUUGAGGCUCGAAAGCGUGGGGAGCAAACAGGAAGAGAUACCCUGGUAGUCCACGCUGUAAACGAUGA
Molecule: ribosomal RNA, 668 nt
Filed under: uncultured bacterium
Lineage: Bacteria
Description: bacterial SSU rRNA
Rfam family: Bacterial small subunit ribosomal RNA
Source: RNAcentral